GGAAAUAACUAAGUCUAAAACCUGAGGAUUCGUACUGGGGGGGCGGCAUUUGUUCCUCAUCAUGUAGGACAUGCCUAGUGCCAUAUGAAGCCUGUCUGUCCCCUUAACGGCAGAGCUGCCCAGAUCACGGGGGACAUAAGAAAGGUCAAGAGCACGCUUUACAGAGGAAGAAGAGCUCAGUACUGAUUGAGGAAUUCCUACCCAUAUCUUCUGGACAGAGGAAAAGCCGCAAGCUGCCUGAGCAUGAAUCUUAAAAAUAAUUCACAGACACUGGAAGACACUUGUUUGCAUUUUGCUCACACACAGCCCCUUUUCUCAUCUGGAGACACGUGAGCCCAUGCGAUGCUGAGAACUGUCUUAAUCCUUGAGAUCACCUGAGGCCCUCAUCCCUUAUCCAUCUCUAGGCCAGUGCUGGCUUUCACAUCACAAUUAUCCAGUCUUGGCCAUUUUUCUUGGAGAAACAGAAAAUGAAUGAAAACAUCCCAUCCCCAUGGCAUUGCCUCCAAAACAAGCACAAAUACACCACACAGAAAACAUUUCUUUCCCGACCUGGUGUUUCUGUAAUGAAGCUUAAGUGUUAAUUUACUGAGGCUUUGGUCUUGUGUCACUCAGUCUCUUCACAUAGUCCAUAGUAUAUCAGGCUCAUUAUGAAGAAAACAAAAAGCAAGCAUAAAUAUUUAUUCUCUUC
Mesocricetus auratus (golden hamster) is the source of this 688-nucleotide long non-coding RNA. RefSeq lists it as uncharacterized. The record is from RefSeq and is a predicted model, not a curated record. The transcript has 5 exons. Lineage: Eukaryota; Metazoa; Chordata; Mammalia; Rodentia; Cricetidae.